UCCCCGUUACCGGGGCAGUCUAGCUAGAGAAAUUCAACUAACUAUAAGGGUUGCGCUCGUUGAAGGACUUAACCUAACAUCUCACGACACGAGCUGAAGACGGCCAUGCAACACCUGUCACUGCGGCCCGAAGGCACUCUUUCCUUUCGGAAAGAUUAGCAGGAUGUCAAACCUUGGUAAGGUUCUUCGCUUACCAUCGAAUUAAACAACACGCUCCACCGCUUGUGCGGGUCCCCGUCAAUUCCUUUAUGUUUUAAGCUUGCGCUCGUACUCCACAGGCGGGAUGCUUAACGCGUUAGCUUCGCUACUAGAAGGGUCGAUACUCCUAACAGCUAGCAUCCAUAGUUUACAGCGUGGACUA
Molecule: unclassified non-coding RNA, 361 nt
Filed under: uncultured bacterium
Lineage: Bacteria
Description: contains 16S-23S intergenic spacer region
Source: RNAcentral